Molecule: small nuclear RNA, 311 nt
Filed under: Urocitellus parryii (Arctic ground squirrel)
Lineage: Eukaryota; Metazoa; Chordata; Mammalia; Rodentia; Sciuridae
Description: 7SK RNA (ENSUPAG00010014709.1)
Rfam family: 7SK RNA (bases 1-261)
About the family: 7SK was discovered as an abundant small nuclear RNA in the mid-70s but a possible function has only recently been suggested.
Source: Rfam by way of RNAcentral
GCAGGUAAGGGCAAUCUGGCUGUGACUUCUGACACCCCACUGAUUGUCAACAUGGAUUCCACUGAUCUGGCUGGCUAGGUUGGUGUGUCCUUUCUCUCUCACCAGUUCAUGUCUGUCCCACCAAAACUCUGUGCUCUGCUGACGAAGACAAGCUUCCCAAUAGAAGACCAGUUUUUAGUCCAGUCCCUAGCUAGGACCAUCAAACAAGUUCUUAAGAAACAGACUGGAAGAAUUAUGAAGUUAAAAAAAAAAAGAAUGAAAGAAAAGAAAAGAAACAGGCUGCACAUGACACAGAAAUUCUCUGCUGACUU